Molecule: ribosomal RNA, 497 nt
Filed under: uncultured bacterium
Lineage: Bacteria
Description: partial 16S ribosomal RNA
Rfam family: Bacterial small subunit ribosomal RNA
Source: RNAcentral
GAUGAACGCUGGCGGCGUGCCUAAUACAUGCCAGUCGAGCGAACAGACGAGGAGCUUGCUCCUCUGACGUUAGCGGCGGACGGGUGAGUAACACGUGGAUAACCUACCUAUAAGACUGGGAUAACUUCGGGAAACCGGAGCUAAUACCGGAUAAUAUAUUGAACCGCAUGGUUCAAUAGUGAAAGACGGUUUUGCUGUCACUUAUAGAUGGAUCCGCGCCGCAUUAGCUAGUUGGUAAGGUAACGGCUUACCAAGGCAACGAUGCGUAGCCGACCUGAGAGGGUGAUCCGCCCACCCGGAACUGAGACACGGUCCAGACUCCUACGGGAGGCAGCAGUAGGGAAUCUUCCGCAAUGGGCGAAAGCCUGACGGAGCAACGCCGCGUGAGUGAUGAAGGUCUUCGGAUCGUAAAACUCUGUUAUUAGGGAAGAACAAAUGUGUAAGUAACUAUGCACGUCUUGACGGUACCUAAUCAGAAAGCCACGGCUAACUACGUG